AAAUGCGGAGUCAUCUCUUGAUUUGUCAGCGAGGCUUUGACUGUGAGCUUCGCGGCGUUCGCGCCUCACCGCCUCACCGAGGGUGGGUCUUUCGCGCGCAGAAUUGUGUAGGAUUUUCCAAAGGGAGUAAAAGCCGAUCGGGGCCUACUUUUAACAUUCCACAAUUAGUAACGUCUGAUUCGUUUGUUUCCACAGUGGGUACGCUGCGAAGACUAGGCUUAUGUUACCCAGAGGUUAGUCCUCUACUAGGCCACGUACUUUAAAUAAUUUAUCACGCUAGUGGAAAUGCGGGGUGGAAGAAAACCCCACCAGCCUUUGGAUUGUAACAGCACAGUAACUUUCCCUGGUUUUUAAAAAUAUUGCCAAAAUACUGCGACUCCAUGUGGCCAACGUAUAGUGACUGAUCACUUUGAAAUGCAUGCCCUUGACCCACCAACUCGCAUGGCCUCUCGCUAUAAGAGAGCAAGCCGGCUGUGUUCCAUGUUCAAUUCAAUAAGUGCAAUUCAAUAAGCUUUUGACUUGUUCUGCCCAAGCAAAUCCUGCCUUUAUAUCGACCUUGCAAGCAGAACAGAGAAUGCUGUUUGGAAGGCAGAAUUCAUAGUACCUAGUUUUCUUGUCCCUGGGAAUUUUGAGGGACUUGAAAUGUCGCGUGGAUGAGUGAGGGAGUUUGUCUUCCAGAGACAAAGCAAAACGAAACGUCAAAGUUCUGUGCUGGUGAAACCAGAUUUGAAGAAUAUCAAAGGCGUCUUACCAAAGAGGAAAAAAAAUGCAUCUUGCCAAGACUUGAAGAAAGGGAUUAGAGAAACCAGAGGCCUUGAAUACUCAGAAAAUGGGAGAUUGUGAAUGGGUGUAGAGGAUAUCUAUGAACCUUGACAUUUCUUUUCACGCCAAGUCCAUUCCCCUGUUAACAGUUGCUUCCCAGUUUCCUGCACAGCUGCAUGGUCUGGGACACUUAAAGAAAAAAAUCACAGGAAAUCAGUGUUCUUGGUAUAUUAUAUAAAGUUAUGAUUCUAUCAACAUUUGUAAUUCAUUUAAUAUUCAGGUGACAGCCCGAAAAUUUACACUAAACAAUACCAUUCCUGUUAAGUUUUACUACAUAUUGAGAGGACUUCUUGUUACCUCCCUAUUACAUACUCCCAAACGCUUUGCACAUGGAAUCCCUCACCUUCCACCUAGUUUUCCCCCCUACUAUUGAUAUUCUUGACUAAAAGGUUGAGUAGUUUCGCCAUCAAUUAAAGUUAAAACCACUGCAGACAGGACAGGGAAGAAAAGCUACGAGGUUUGCUCUUCACAGAAUUAAUCUGUGAAAUAAUGGAUUGUAGUUACUGGAUUAAAAUGGCAGAAAACCUAGUCUUGGCCUCCUUAAGACCAUCAGACUCCCUGGAGGCUCUGAGUUGGCUUCUCUCUUUACACCUAGAUUGCAACAAGACCUAAGCACUUGGUUAAUAUUUACCCAGGAACUUAGAUUGCUUGUGUGUCUGGCAUCUAGCCAUCAUGGAUUCCAUUCCAAUAUAUUGGUUUUCCAGUCCCUCAAUAGCUGUUAUAUGCCUUCAUUGCAACAUAUGUGUGCCAUCCAGUUUAGUUUCGGAAAGAAAUAUUUUCUGUUAUACCAAAAUUGUAGGACUGAAUACUUGGAAGCUGCAGCCCUUUAAUUCACAAAACAAAAUUUGUGAGAGAAAACUUCUCCCAAGAAAUAUGGCCAGACACGGUGGCUCACACCUGUAAUCCUAGAACUUUGGGAGGCUGAGGAGGGCAGAUCACCUGAGGUCAGAAGUUCAAGACCAGCCUGGUCAACAUGGCAAAACCCUGUCUCUACUAAAAAUACAAAAAUUAACUGGGCACAAUGGCGGGCAUCUGAAAUCCCAGCUACUCGGGAGGCUGAGGCAGGAGAAUCAUUUGAACCAGGGAGGUGGAAGUUACAGUGAUCUGAGAUCACACCACUGCACUCCAGCCUGGGUGACAGAGCAUGACUCCCUCUCAAAAAAAAAAAAAGGAAAUAUAAACCAUAUGUAUGUAUCUUUAAAGGUUACCUAUAAGGACUGGGAGAGAAGAGUAUGGAGAAGACAGAAAAAAAAGCGUUAUUUAAAUGUACUUUGUUUUUUAGAUUUGACUGAAAACACACAUUUUACUUAGUUUUUUAAAAAUCAACUUUUGAAAAGCAAUUCCCCAAACUAAAAAUUAAGUUACUUAACCUAACCGGAUAUUACAUAACACACAAAGAACUUUUUCAAGUGACUUUCAAACACAAUAAUUUGACUAGAUAUCCAUAGUGGGAUAUUUUUAAGGAGAAAAAGAAAUGUCCAAAAACAUUUAAGUGUUUGCAUUUGUAUUGUUGGUGAUAAUGUUUGGAAAUGUAUUUUGAUAAUUUUAUGUGAAAUGUGGAUUAAAGAAUACGAGUAAUUAUAU
Molecule: long non-coding RNA, 2406 nt
Organism: Homo sapiens (human)
Lineage: Eukaryota; Metazoa; Chordata; Mammalia; Primates; Hominidae
Gene: GTF2A1-AS1
Product: GTF2A1 antisense RNA 1
Source: Ensembl